CUAUCCCGUCAUUCCCAGCGGGGAACAGUAGAGCCGGACUCUGGAGGACUCUAGAGCGGCGGGAGCUAGGCCGAGCCCGAUGAUGUCGGAGAAGAAGCAGCCCGUCGAUUUGGGGCUUUUGGAGGAAGACGACGAGUUCGAGGAGUUCCCGGCUGAAGACUGGGCUGGUUUAGAUGAAGAUGAAGAUGCACAUGUGUGGGAGGACAACUGGGAUGAUGACAACGUCGAAGAUGAUUUCUCCAAUCAGCUAAGAGCUGAAUUAGAAAAACAUGGCUACAAGAUGGAAACGUCGUAGCUUCCAUUGAUGUUGCAAUCUGCAGUUGGACUGUAAAUUGAACACUGAAGCAUAUGGAAGUCAAAAUGGAAGACAAGAUACUAGACUGUCAAUUAUUCAUGUCCUAUUUUUUUGUUUUUGGUUUUUUGUAUAAAUAAAAAAUUGAAUCUAA
Hemicordylus capensis (graceful crag lizard) is the source of this 446-nucleotide long non-coding RNA. RefSeq lists it as uncharacterized. NCBI's taxonomy places the organism in Eukaryota, Metazoa, Chordata, Lepidosauria, Squamata, Cordylidae. The record is from RefSeq and is a predicted model, not a curated record. The transcript is spliced from 3 exons.